RNAcentral lists this ribosomal RNA (495 nucleotides) under uncultured bacterium. RNAcentral describes it as "partial 16S ribosomal RNA". It matches the Rfam family "Bacterial small subunit ribosomal RNA", at positions 28 to 507 of the family's 1533-position model. The record is from RNAcentral.
GAUGAACGCUGGCGGCGUGCCUAAUACAUGCAAGUAGAACGCUGAAGGAGGAGCUUGCUCUUCUGGAUGAGUUGCGAACGGGUGAGUAACGCGUAGGUAACCUGCCUGGUAGCGGGGGAUAACUAUUGGAAACGAUAGCUAAUACCGCAUGACAACAGUUAUUGCAUGAUAACUGUUUAAAAGGGGCAACUGCUCCACUACCAGAUGGACCUGCGUUGUAUUAGCUAGUUGGUGAGGUAACGGCUCACCAAGGCGACGAUACAUAGCCGACCUGAGAGGGUGAUCCGCCACAAUGGGACUGAGACACGGCCCAGACUCCUACGGGAGGCAGCAGUAGGGAAUCUUCGGAAAUGGACGGAAGGCUGAACGAGCCAAGCCGCGUGAGGGAAGAAGGUUUUCGGAUCGGAAAGCUCUGUUGUAAGAGAAGAAAGAGUGUGAGAGUGGAAAGUUCACACUGUGACGGUAUCUUACCAGAAAGGGACGGCUAACUACGUG